Molecule: long non-coding RNA, 593 nt
Filed under: Bos taurus (domestic cattle)
Lineage: Eukaryota; Metazoa; Chordata; Mammalia; Artiodactyla; Bovidae
Description: long non-coding RNA NONBTAT000259
Source: RNAcentral
CAAAGCAAAGAUGGAGAAAUCAAGAAGGCUGGCUCAGAUGGUGACAUUAUGGACAGUUCCACAGAGGCUCCUCCCAUCUCGAUCAAGUCCCGCACCCAUUCAAUGUCUGCUGACCCUUCAUGCAGACCUGGGCCAGGGGGCCAAGGGCCUGAGUCUGCCACCUGGAAGACACUGGGGCAACAGUUGAAUGCAGAGCUCAGAGGCCGUGGUUGGGGCCAACAGGAUGGUCUGGGCCCCCGUCCCCAUGUCCAAGCCCAAGCCCCCGAAGAUCCAGUCCCUCCCCAGACAGCCUGGGCCUCCCAGAGGAUCCCUGCUUAGGCUCCAGGAACGAAGAUGGCUGGCUGAGGCCGCAGCCCCGUUUGGCAGGGCGACGAGCAGUGUCUGUGCAUGAGGACCAGCUCCAGGCCCCUGCUGACCGGCCCCUGCGGCUACAGCGCUCCCCUGUCCUCAAGCGCAGGCCAAAGCUUGAGGCGCCUCCAUCUCCAAGCAUAGGAUCUGGCCUUGAAGCCGAGCCUCUACCCACCCAGUCUACAGAGCCCUCCAGCCCACCCUCCCCAACCACAAACCAAAGAGGCGGCGGCCCCAACCCCUGA